This is a non-coding RNA of Oryctolagus cuniculus (rabbit), 21209 nucleotides long. Lineage: Eukaryota; Metazoa; Chordata; Mammalia; Lagomorpha; Leporidae. The record is from RefSeq and is a predicted model, not a curated record.
AAAUAUCAAUUCCCAACUUGACUCUCACUGGGAUUAAACAUGACAAUAGGUCUGCUCUGAUUUCAUCAUCAUUUAAAAAAAUCAUCUAUUAUUUUUCACUUUAUGUUUCUGUGUGGGAGCAAACUGUUGAAAUCCAUACUUAAUGUAUACUAAGCUGAUCUUCUGUAUAUUAAGAUAAUCGAAAAUGAAUCAUGAUGUGAAUGGAAGGGGAGAGGGAGUGGGAAAGGGGAGGGUUGUGGGUGGGAGGGACGGUAUGGGGGGGAAGCCAUUGUAAUCCAUAAGUCGUACUUUGGAAAAUUAUAUGCAUUAAAUAAAAGUUUAAAAAAAAUAAAUAAAUAAAUAAAUAAAUAUUUAAAAAAAAUAGAGAAAGAUAAAUAUUCUUGGUAAGACAGUGAACUUUGUUGAUAUUUACAUAAUUGCAUAGCAAUUGGGAAACACACUGCAACUGUUUGUGAGAUGGACAGAGCAGUUGGAAGGCGGACUUUAAGUGUUGUACCCAAUCCAGCAAUGGGCACCCAGCUAGCCCAUGAUCAUUCUCAGGUUGUCAUUGUUGUGUAAACAGGGGUUGUGUUCCCUUGUUUGGGCUGCAGACUGGAGAGCUUAAACAACAGAAAUCAAGUUUCUUACAGUUCUGGAGGCAGAAACCCAAGGUCAAUGUGUUGUAUGGGUUGGUGUCCUCUGAGGCCUCUCUCCUGUGCUUGCAGAUGGCCAUCCCCUUGCCAAGUUCUUACAUGAUCUUUUUUUUUUUUCUUUGAGUUUUCAUUCUGGGUGUCUCUUUGUGUAUAUAAUUUAUCUGUUGUUUUUGGGAUAUCAGAGGGUUGAGGUGUGUUCAUAUGACCUUAUUUAAUCUUAUUUACUUCCUCAAAGUUCCUGUCUCCAAGUAUAGUCACUUUCUGGGGUUAGGAUUUUUUUGUUGUUGUUGUUGUUGACAGGCAGAGUUAGAGAGAGAGAGAGAGACAGAGAGAAAGGUCUUCCUUUGGUUGAUUUACCCCCCAAAUGACUGCUACGGCUGUCGCUGUGCCGAUCCGAAGCCAGGAGCCAGGUGCUUCUCCUGGUCUCCCAUGUGGUGCAGGGCCCAAGCACUUGGGCCAUUCUCCACUGCCUUCCUGGGCCACAGCAGAGAGCUGGACUGGAAGAGGAGCAACCAGGACAGAAUCCGGCACCCCAACCAGGACUAGAACCCCGGGGUGCCGGCACCACAGAUGGAGGGUUAGCCUAGUGAGCCGAGCUGCAGCGCCGGCCAGGGUUAGGAUUUUAACAUGGGAAUUUUGGGAGCAUACAGUUCAGUUCAUAUUAGAGGUAUAUCUUUGCCAUUGAAUACAUUGGAAGAGCUUAUUAAAAAAAUUAGUUGUCUUCAUAUUUUUAUUGUGAGAAUCAUUUUCACAUUAUUCAGUGCUGAUAAAUGAAAUAUAGUGCUUUUUUAUACAGUACAGUCAUAUCUAACUGAAAAUAACUGCUUUCAUUGAAACAAAAUUUUUAAUGCUUGAUUUAAAUUUGUUUUCUGUCUUUUGAUGACUUCCUAGGUUCAUUUCCUUUCCUCUGUUGACUGUUUUAUACAAUUCAAGGGAAGAAAGUUCUCUUUUUUUGACAGGCAGAGUUAGACAGUGAGAGAGAGAGAAAGGUCUUCCUUCCGUUGGUUCACCUCCCAAAUGCUGGUACAGCCAGCAUGCUGCGCUGAUCCAAAGCCAGGAGCCAAGUGCUUCCUCAUGGUCUCCCAUGCGGGUACAGGGCCCAAGCACUUGGGCCAUCCUCCACUGCACUCCCGGGCCACAACAGAGAGCUGGACUGGAAGAGGAGCAACCGGGACAGAAUCCAGCAUCCCAACUGGAACUAGAACCUGGGGUACCGGUGCCGCAGGCGGAGGGUUAGCCUAGUGAGCCGCGGCGCUGGCCAGGAAUAAAGUUCUAAUGAUAGAUAGCUUAUGAUAGUCUUUUCUCACAUUCACCCGUUUCUCUAAAACUGUGUUAUUGGUAAGGUUGGAGCCUAGUUAAAAACUGACUGCAUUAAUUAUAUAAUUAUCCCAUAAAAUACCCCAACAAUCUAAAUCCUGUGCCUCUUACCUGGAACAUCGUACCUGGGAAACUUUCAUUGAUUCCUACAACACUUAGACAUGUGUUUGGGAUGUUACCUGUUAACUUGUGUGUAGUGGUGGGGGUGUGUAUAAUGAGUUCAGAACUGUUGCUAAGAAUAAAAAGCAUAAAUGCACCAGUAGAACUAUAAAGGUAACUUUCAUAAAGCCUGAGUAGAUUUUCAACCCAAGAAGACCUUAUCCUGGUAGCAGAUGUCUUUUGAGCCUUGAGGUGGGGAAUCCUCCCUCUGCCUCAGAGUGCUGCCUUGUCAUGGUUGGUGUGUGUAGUAAGCCCUUAAGUUGCAACCUGAGUCCCUUACUUCCACUAAAGAAACAUGUAGCCUUUGCCUGCCUUGGGUAUCUUUCAGUAAAUUACAUCAUCUAGUUGGGGCCAGCAUGCUCUUAGCUAUUCAUUUCAUUCCCUACUUGUUCCUCUUGAUGCCCACCCAACAGAAUAAAUUACAGGACAUGUGAAUCCAAAUUAGUUUUUGCUGGCUACUGCCAUUUCUGGGAAAGAGAAGAGGAUAAAAUUACUUUUAGAAUUUCUUCUGAGAAUUUAUUGGUCUCUUAGGUUUGUAAAGACCAGGGGUAUCCUGUAUGGAACUAACUAAGUUAUGUUAACAUGCUUCUAUUUGGGUAAAGACUAUUGAAAAAUACAUCUGAUGGUUGGUUUAUUUUAUGUGAUAGAAAUUUAAUGCCUUUUGGAGCUAAAGCCACUAUUGUUAAUAUUGUUAACAUUAAAGGACCGUCAAACCAAGCUGAAUGAGAACAAUAUGGUACAACAAUAAGUUUGAAAAAUAAUGUAAUUAUAUUAUUAUAUUUUUGUUGAUUACUUGUUAAGCAGUAGAAAUUGUGGGGGUAGAUUAUGGGAUUUGUUUGAAGGGAUGUAACACAUUUCCCCAAAUGAAAACAUCUGUCCACAUUGAUGUUUUCCAUUAGUCAUCUUCAGAGAUGUUAAUUUAACUUAAAACAAUUCACACUGCUCUGUUGAUGAUUAAUUUUUAAAUGAUGUUUGCAUUAUUAGUUGAAGUUAGAGAAGCCAUGAGAAAUGGGAGCUAAAACAGAUGGCCACAAUGAUGCAUGUGGUACUUUGGAUGUUUACAUUAAGGCAGCCCCUGGUGUUUGCUUAGGGAAUGAAAGCAGAGUAGAAACUAAAAUUGGCACAAGUUAUUAACAUGCCUGACUUGGAUAGUCAACAUAAAUCCUGAGUAAGUCUCAUAGAAACUGCACUCUUAUCAUGUUUCAUUUGAUUGGCAUGACAUGCCGUCACCUAUUACUCUACAGGGCUGUGGAGUAAGCACUUAGAAUGUAGUCCUUUUUUAUUUAUAUGUAAGGAAAAGAUUUAAAGUAAAAUCUAUUAGAAGAGAUCAUGUUUUUGUCCAUUUGUCCAGAACAAAUCUACAUAUGUGAAUCUUACAUAUCAUAGAUAAUCCGGUUUUUAAUAGGCAAUAGGAUUUUCUCUGAGAAUUCAAGCAGAAACAUUUAAAUCCCUUUAAAAGUACUCAAACCAAAGGUAGUUUUCAUUUAUCAUCCCUUUAAUUCAUUUCCUCUCAAAUUUUAGUAUGUGUGUAUUUUGUUCUAUAAAUUCUAAUUCAGUUAAUGGUGUGGCCCAGUAAUCUAAAUUUUGAGAAGUUUCUAAAUGCUUUAAUUAGAUAAUAAUUAUUUUUUCACAUACAUGUACCUCAAAUUAUCCCUUAAAAACAAUCCUACAAACCUGAUACUCAUUUUUAUAUUCCUUUCUGUUUUGCUAGCAUUUUAGUUUUAAAGAUUGGAGAAGAUUUUUGGCUCAAGAUGGCUCAUUUGUAGGCAUAUUAUAUUCCUUUACCAUCUAAGACCCCUCAGAGAAAGGGAUCAAAAAAUAUAAACAAACCAUCACAAAGUUAAGGAGAGAUUAAUAUUAAUAGCAAUGUUCUGACAGACAGAGUCAUUUAUCAAGUAGUACUGGAAGAAGCAGGAUAGAGUGGCCCAGGUCCUGGGAGUGAGUUGAACUUUCCUGAUGAAUUCCAAAGUGACUCAAGACUCAGGGAUAGCAUGUAUGAUGAACAGCAGGCAUGAAAAGUGAAUUGUAAAAUAAGGGCAUUUGAAAUCUGAAGAUAGAAUGUCACAGUAGCCACAUGGUAUGUAGAGCAUCUACAUAGGCACAUGAUGGGAGAAUUUGUCCCUUCAGAAAUAAGUAGUUAUCUGGCUUGAAUAUGGACAGCUGGUAUUGGAAUUGGUACCCAGAAGAAAGAUCAUGCAUAUUGGGAUAGAAGAGUUUUCAAGUAUUGAAUCAGCUCAGCACCAAAAAAUUGCCAUCACUACCCAUGCUACAUUCCCAUGUGAUUAGACUUUUAUGGGCAUGUUCCUCAAUGGGAAAAGAUCACUGAGGUUCAACAGACAAUUGAAGAAGAUUGAAACACAAGAAAGAAAAACUAGGAUACACAUAUUUAAAAUGUCCAUAAAUGUCCUUAUGGGCACAAAUCAGACAGAUGGUAAUUAAAUUAUAAGGGGAUUUUUUUUUUUUACUUGUUCAGAUUCUAUGGAGAUUUUAUGAACUCCUAAACUGCACCCACCCACUUUUACACUCUGCUCUUUAAAACAAGAAUAUGGUGUUAUGUAAAAUCUACACUUGGAGUACUCAGAAAGCUGAAAGAAGAGUAAUAAAAAUUCCAAAGGUAGGACCAGGAACGUUGAGGAUAAUUCCUAGAAAGCUGAUAAGGAAAAUACUAAUGAGUAACUUACUCCAGGUUGCAGCAUGAGGCCUUAUUGACUAAGUCUCUGAAAUGUCUUUAAUUUUUUUACAUACUGGCAAUUACCAGUUUGUAAACAGUUACACAUUGGUGAAUUAUACUUAAUUCAUUAUCCAGUAUGAAUUGAACACCUACUGUAUGUCAUCAUGACUCAUAAAUUCAAGGAAUACCAGGGUGAUCAAAACUUAAAAAAAUCCUGGUAACCAUGGAGGUUAUAUUUUAGUUGGGAAAUAAAGAAAACAAACAAAUAACAAGAAUAUAUAAUGUGACAGAUAGUCAUAGGAUCUGUGGAGACCAAAUAGGAAAAGGAGAUAAGAUUGUGUUGGGGUGGGGUUAUACCUUUCAAAAAGAUGAUCAAGAAAGGAAAAGUACUACUAUACAAGAGUGUAUACCCUAAGGCAGGUACUCUGCUCUAGGAACCAGGCAAGGAUUCCAGUGUGAUCACAGAGAGUGAUUUAAAGGCAAAUUAGAUAAGAGAUGAAGGGUUUGGGACACAUUCCUGGCUGGCCAUGAGUAGCCUCCACUUUUGAGCUGUGAAGCCAUUGCAUGGCUUUACUUAGAGGAAUGACAUAAUCUUGUAAUGCUGUAAUAAGAAUGGUUUGUAGGGGCAAUAAGAAUUGGAGGCAAGGAUAGUAGAGAAAGGCUAUUGCAGUAGAUCAUGCAAGGAACAAUGCCAUUUGGAGCAGGAUGAUAGCACUGAAAGUACUUAGGUGUGUCUUUUUUCCGGUUGUAUUUUAAGGAUAAAAUUAAUGGAACCUUUCUUAUGGUUGAAAUCAGGAAUGAGGAAGAGAUGAAUUCAAGUGUUUUGCCAGAUUAUCUGUAACGAGGGAAGAGCCCUUCCAUUACAUGGAGAAGACUGUUUGUGGAGGACUCUCAGGAAGCUGGAGUCUGGAGUUUGUGUUUCAGAUUUGUCACGUUGGAGAUGCCAUGUGGAAAUCCAGCUGGAGGUGGGGACUGCAGAUGGAUAGCCAUGUUGGAGUUCAGUUGGGAAGUCUGGCUUGGAAAUACUAAUUUGUGAGUCAUGUUAGUAUCAUGGUGAUUAAAAUCAUGUGACUGGAUCAGAUAGACUUCUUAGGUUUGGAUCCUGCAGCAUUCCAAUGUAAAAGUUGAAUGGUAAGGAAGAAUUAGCCAGCAAAGAGAUGGAACAGGGACAGCUAAGAGACCAAAGUGUAUAUGGUAUUCCACAUGCCAAGAAAAGAAAGUAUUAUGAGGAGGAAGAGGUAAUCAGCCAUUCCAAAUGCUUUUACAUUAAAAAAAAUUUUUCAGAUGUUUCAUCUACAAAUGAGAAGUGCUAAUUUUCUUAUUUUACAAAGCUUUGAGAACAUGUAAAAUGGAACUACUCCACUGCGCAAGUAGUUUGCAUUAUACCAAAACAUAGCCACUUCAAAUAUGGCUUUGAAGUAAGCAGAGGAGAAAUAAAUUAUUCAGUUAACCACGAAAUUGAAAAGCAAGGGUCACAGUACUUGAUGAUCCACUGGCAGUGUUUCCCCCACAACCAACAAUAAAUCAUAUGGGAAAUUGAGUAACUCUUUUUGUUAUUAGCCUAUGUCCUAAUAGUAUCUCUGAAACCUGAACUCAUUGUUGUUUUGGGUAAUUCCUCUUGCAUGGAGAAUGGAGCCAAAGAGGCUGCUACACUGGUGAUAUUUGGAAACAUGCUUCUGAAUUUUCACACUCACAAAAAAUUGAAUGAGGUGACAGAUGUGUUAUCCACAAAAUCUCUUUAGCUUGGAUGAAUUGGCAGAAAUGCAGGAAAUAUAUCUCUAAAUAUUCUAUUUGCGUACCUAGAGUGCUGUUAGUACACUUAUUUGUAACUCUAUCAAUGUGUGGUAAGUUAACUUGUUGAGGGAUUAUUUGUUAGUGUUUUCUUGGUUUCCUCACAUGUCAAGCAGAUGAAGUUAAGCCUCUCGUAAUUCUUUUUUUUUUUUUUUUUUUGGACAGGCAGAGUUAGAGAGAGAGACAGAGAGAAAGGUCUUCCUUUUUCCGUUGGUUCACCCCACAAGUGGCUGCUACAACCGGCGCGUUGCGGCCAGAGUGCUGUGUCGAUCUGAAGCCAGGAGCCAAGUGCUUCCUCAUGGUUUCCCAUGUAGGUGCAGGGCCCAAGCACCUGGGCCAUCCUCCACUGCACUCCCGGGCCACAGCAGAGAGCUGGCCUGGAAGAGGUGCAACCGGGACAGAAUCCAGCACUCCAACCGGGACUAGAACCCGGGGUGCUGACACCGCAGGUGGAGGAUUAGCCUAGUGAGCUGUGGCACUGGCCCUGUGAUUCUUUGCUUCUCCUAUUUUCCUUAGAUUUCUUCUUGGAAUCCUGAAAGUAAAGGAGUUCAGUGUUUGAAAGUCAGGAGUGAUACAGAGCAGAUUUCCUCUCAAUUCAGUAGAAUGGAGGUUGUCCGAUCUUAUGAGUCACAAGGAAUCUGUGCCCAUGUAGAGCAAUAUCCUGCAAUCCUGCAUGGUGGGCUUAGAGAAACUAGGCCCUAAAAAUGGAGAUUCUGUGCCUCAGGUACCACACAAGGGCAGCUUUCAGCUUCCAGCCCCUACAUGGCUAGGGACAACAAAUGCUGUUCUGUGAACUUCAGGAGGCAUUGGUACACCUUUUUGUGCGAAAUUUCUGCUCGGUACAAUCUCUCCCUCAUUUUUACCCUUGAUGUCUAAGAUGUGCUCAGAAAUCCAAGGUUUUGUAGCCAUUGUUUCUCUUCUGAGCCAGUGCUAUUUUGCUGUUUCUUUCCUGCCCUAUGUAUCAUUUUCAGAUGCUCUCCAGGCCUUCUUUGAGCACAUUCUACUGUAUCCUUCAUUUUCUAUAGAAUGCUCCAUGCAACCCCUUUGCCCUAACUGAAACUAGGCCCCUUCACAGCUGAGGACACAAUGUUUCUGGCAACUAUCUACAAUAUACUAUUUAUUUGUCCCAAGCUUUAUAGGGAUUUUAGUGCCAUGUUGGUUUUCUCAGCCAUUAUCCUUGCAUUUUCUAGAAAAAACACUUAUUAUACUUUGACACUUUUUUAAAAAAGAUUUAUUUAUUUAUUCAAAAGUUACAGAGCGACAGAGGAAGAGAGAGAGAGAGAGAGAGAGAGAGAGAGAGGUCUUCCAUCUGCUGGUUCAUUCUCCAGAUGGUUGCAACAGGGCCUUCUUCUGGGUCUCCCAAGUAGGUACAGGGGCCCAAGGACUUAGGCCAUUUUCCACUGCUUUCGCGGGCUAUAGCAGAGAGCUGGAUAGGAAGUGAAGCAGCCAGGACUCGAACUGGCACCCAUAUGGGAUGCCAGCACUGCAGGCAGCAACUACCCAUUACGCCACAAUGCCAGCCCCUACUUUGAUACUUAUUGCUAACAUCCAUUUCUACCUUUCUAUGGCACAUUAAUUUAUCUCUUGCAUUUAUCAAGACCUUUGGCAUAUAGGUCACAAUUUUGUCAAUCUAAGGCAAAUGUCAAUCAUUUGCCAUGACUUCCUCUGACUCCCAGAGCUCUGAAAGUUCACAGUUCUUAGACCUUUAAUACUUCAGUAACUUGCUUAUGGCCAUUUGUUGGAUCCUCUCAUUCCUAGGAUUCCUAUCUCGUUGGACUCCAGAAUCCUCCUACCCUAACUUAUGGUCACAAUUUUCCAUAUUUUUAGCUUUCUUACCCCUCCUCUCCAACCUUAGUCUCCAGUUCUAUACUGCUUUUAUUUCUUUCUUUGUUUUAAUAAAUAUGCAUUAAUUUCAUUUUCCACAGACUUUUAAAAAAUAUUUAUUUGAAAGGCAGAGUUAGAGAGGGGAAAAGACAGAGACAUCCUCAUCUGCUGGUUCACUUUGCAAAAGGCUGCAACAAAUUGUUUUGAGCCAGGCUAAAGCCAUCCAGAUCUCCCACAUGGGUGGGAGAGGUCCAUGCCAUUGGGCCAUCAUCUGCUGUUUUCCCAGGUGCCUUAGCAGAGAGCUGAAUAGGAAGUGAGAGAGUCAGGACUCAAACCCAGACUCUUACAGGAUGUUGGUGUCACAGGUUGCAGCUUAACCUGCUGUGCCAAAAUGCUGCCCUUCCCCCCUUAACUACUUUUGUGCUGUAUCACUCCUUACCUUUCCAGGUGCACCUCUUGCUCGGUUACUACUUAUACCUUCAUUUAUUCAUCUCAACCUUUUAAUCCUAUCUCCCUCCGCAGCUCUUUCCCCCACACUUCCUUUCCAUCAUUUGUCCCAUAUUUUGUAGAGAUGUUAGUGCCCUGUUGGUUUUCUGAGCCAUUACCCUUGCAUUUUCCAGGAAAAAUACUUACUAUAUUUUGAUACUUUUUUUUAAAAGAUUUAUUUAUUCGAGAGAGAGUUAGAGAGAGAAGGAGAAAGAGAGGUCUUCCAUCUGCUGGUUCAUUCCCUAGAUGGCUGCAACAGGUCUCAAAUGUGGGGGCAGGAGCCCAAGGACUCAGGCCAUUUUCCACUGCUUUCACAGGCCAUGGCAGAGAACUGGAUAGGAAGUGGAGCAGCCAGGACUCCAUUAAUAAAAUGGAUUUAUUAAUCCAUUUGUUCACUAAUACAUUUUGUUUAGUCUAACCUCUUUUAAUUUGAAAGCCACACACACACAACCACACACAUGGAGAGACAGGGAGAAUUCCCAUCUCUGGUUCACUCCUCAGAUGGCUCCAACAGUUCGGGAUGGGUGAGGCAGAAGCUAGGAAGUUCAGCCAGGUCUCCCACAAGAGUGACAGUGACCAAAUUACUUGAGCAGUCACCAUCGCCUCUCAGGGCUCACAUUAGCAGAUAGCUGGACUCGGGACUCAGAGCCAGGACUGAAACCCAGGUACUGUGAUAUGCAAGGCAGGCAUCUUAAACACUAGACCAAAUGCCUGCCUCUAACCUAACUUUUGAAAUCUGCAUGUUAGGAUCUGGCUGGAUAAUUUUCUUCUUUAUUCCUGGCACAUAGUUAGCCAUGCUGUUAGGAUUUUGCAUGUGCCUGAGCUCAGGACAUAUUAACAAUCUACUUAUUCUAAUCUUUAUUAUGGACCUUCUCCUUUACAUCCUGUGUCACAGAGUAAGAAAAGACAUUGAAUUAUGAAGUUCUUCAAACAGCUGCCCUUUCCCCUCCAUAAUAUUCAUCAUGACGACUUUACCCUUGCUCUGUUAAACAAUUGAUUCUCUUCCUUCUUGGGGUGAAGAACUCUUCUUCGAUCCUAAUAUUACUUACCUCCUUGAGUCUUUGAGUCUGAGAACCUCAACAGGGCAGUGACUGUAUUAAAAUAAUCCAUCCUUGGGUUCCCAAGGUAGCAUAGUACAUAACACAUACCAGUUCUUCAAAACAAGUUUCUUGAGCAGCAGGCAUUUGGCAUCUAUGCAGGCAUCUAUGUUGAAGUGCCUGGAUUUAAUACCUGACUCCAACUUUCAGCUAAUGCAGACCCUGGGAGGUAACAAUGAUGGUUUAACUAAAUGGGUCUCCACCACCCAUGUGGGGGACCUGGAUUGACUUCCUGUCUCCUGGUUUCAACCCAGUACAACCCUGGGCAUUUGGUGAGUAAUCUAGUGAAUGGAGGGAGUUCUCUUUCUCUCCUGCUCUAAUAAUUCAUUAGGAAAGCAAACAGACAGAUACCAAGUUCUUUGAGAAAAUAGAAGUAUUUCCUUCCUUGAAUUUCAAUAUCUUCUUUACUGAUGUUUUCUCUCAGUAUAUAAAGUCAAACAGUCUUCACUCAGUUAAACAAGUGAAGUUAAUCUUCCUCAGCCUCUAAACUCCUCUAGCUCCUGUUCUCCUGAUCUCUUCAUGAGCGAUCUGAGAGUGCAGUUGACAUGCACUUUAUUCCUCAGCACACUAUAGCUAAUCCUGUGGCCCCAUUGUCACACUGAGUUAUUCUUGGUAAGACCAGCGAAGAUUGUGUAGUUCUUAAAAAGCCAAAUCAACACUGGAGGGGCCUUUCUGUGUUGAAGGUCACACUGUUUUCCUUUCCCAUGCCAAUCCCCUUGUUUCUCUGACAUAGUUUUGGUUUAAUUCUUACCUCUCUCUCUCUCUCCCUGUCUCACCUCCAUCAAUUUAUCUAUUAAUUGUUGGCGGUUUUCAUCUGCUCUCUUAUCCUCUUCAUAGACUCUCAGCAAUUGUAUCCGACCCCUGCCUUCUUAAUUUACAACGUCCCCAAACUCUGCCCAGUUUCAGAUCCGUUCACCUAGCCAUUAAUUAGAUCUCUUACUUGAUGAUCCAGAGAUGUUUCACACUGAACCUUUCCUGUGUGCAGCCUAGAACCCAGUAAAACUUCCUCCUCUUCCUUAAUUUUCCUCCCAGCAAAUGUCCAAGUCCUAAAGAACACCACAAAUGGCAAGUUUUAGGAGAUUAAAAAAAAAAAAACUGUUUCAGUCCUAGAUUAUUGAAGAAUGAAGUAGGCAGGGAGGGAGAAGUUGGCCCUCAGAACAAGAGGGCAAGGCUAAUUGAAUACCUUAGUAAAACCAAAAGAAAAAUAGGAACUCCAGGGCCAGUGCUGUGGCACAGCAGGUUAAGCUGCUUCUGCAGCACUGGUUCAAGACCUGGAUGUUCUGCUUGCUUGCUUUCUUUUUUUUUUUUUUUUUUUGACAGGCAGAGUUAGACAGUGAGAGAGAGAGAGAGAAAGAGAAAGGUUUUCCUUUUCCAUUGGUUCACCCCCCAAAUGGCCGCUACGGCCAGCGCACCGUGCCGAUCCGAAGCCAGGAGCCAGGUGCUUCCUCAUGGUCCCCCAUGCGGGUGCAGCACCCAAGGACCUGGGCCAUCCUCCACUGCACUCCCGGGCCACAGCAGAGAGCUGGACUGGAAGAGCAGCAACCGGGACAGAACUGGAGCCCCAACCGGGACUAGAACCCAGGGUGCUGGCCCCGCAGGUGGAGGGUUAGCCAAGUGAGCCAUGGAUGUUCUGCUUUCAAACCAGCUCCCUGAUAAUGUGCCUGGGAAAGCCGCGGAGGAUGGCCCAAGUCCUUGGGCCCCUGCGCUGACGUGGGAGACCAGGAAGAAGCUCCUGGCUUUGGCCUGACCCAGCUCCAGCUAUUGUGGCCAUUUGGGGAGUGAACCAGCAGAUGGAAGAUCUUCUCUGUCUCCUUCUCUGUAACUCUGCCUUUCAAAUAAAUAAAUAAAACUUUAAAAAAAAAAGGAACUCUGAAAACCACUUAGAGCCAAUGACUAUUUUAAAAACAGGACCAUGGGAAUGAGUCAGGAAAGAAUGCUGCAAAAGUAUUAAAAGAAAGAGCAUAAGUUAUCAAAGUAACCUCUCUGAAUAAUUUUAUGAACAAAAUAAAAUGGUUUUAAAGUGACCAAAUAUGAAUACUUAGUUGAGGUAAUCCUAAAUCCUUCAGAUAUUUUGUGUAUUUCUCUACUUGGGCUGCCAUAACAUAAUAUCAUAGUUUAGGGGACUCCAACAGCAGAAAUUUAUUUUCUAUGGUUCUGGUGACUGGAAAUCCAAAAUCUGCUCAGAGGUCAUUUCUGGUGAGAUCUGCCUUGGUUUGUGGAUGGCUUUCUUUUGACUAUAUACAUGGUCCCUUCUUUUUCUAAUAAUGACACCAGUACUAUAAGAUCAGAACCCUUCCUUUGUGACCUCAUUUAACCUGAACUUUUCCCUUCAUGACUGGGUCUCCAAAUACAGCCACACUGGGGGUUAGAGCAUCAACAUAUGGGUUUCUUAGGGGGACACAGUUCAGUCCACAACAUAUUAAGCAGAGUAGAGGUUCAUUGAAAUGAUGUUUUGCUAAAGAGGUAAUAAUAUUACUCCAUGCAUAGCCUCCCGUGCGCAAACAUCAGUGCCCUGCCAAUUGGACCUGGUCUUCAGUACCCACAAAUGUCUGCAACAUUUCAUUUUCAAAGUUAAAACUUACUUUAAAUUAGAGAUGCAUAAAAGUAUGUAUAUUCAGCCAAAAUCAUGUUAUUUUUGGCUGUCUCUAACUAAACAACAAGAAAACUAAUUUCGACUAUAUUUUGUAAAAGAGAAAAAAAAACUUGCAACUCCAAUCAAGAACUUCUAUGCCAAGUCUAAUACUGGAAGAAAUAUUAAGACCAAAUUAUAACCCCCUAAACUGUGGAAGAUAGCUAGAUCCUUAACAUCACUGUACCACCAAUGGCUGUAAGAUUUAUUUACAUUAUUAGUACUGAAGCACAAGGAAUCAGAAUGCAGGUACUUACGUUAAGGAACCUGAAGCUGAAGCUCUGCUGUGUUUUCCAGCUCUUAUGAGCAAUCAUUAAUGGAUGGUUUGUACUUGGAGGUGAUAAAAAGUGACAUCCAUUGGCUAUUCACAACAUGACAGUGCUCUCACAGCCGUAGUGUGUGAUACAGAACAAUGAGUGUCUUUCAAUUUUCCAACAUUUAAAACUUUGCUCCUAACUUUUCAGAGCUUCACGGAUGGGGUAUACCAUCCAGGAUUCCAACUUCAAAGAUUUGAAAAAUAAACUGCAGACCAGCAAACUUUUCGUUUUUGUUUUGCUUCUGUUAUUUUUCUAACCUUUCCUUUAAAACACACUCUUUCUCACAGUUGCCAUUUGCAGAUAAAGUUAGUAGUAUUAAAAUAAUUCAUUUUUAAUAAAUUCUAAAUGUGUUAGCCUUUCUGUUAGCUGGACCAAAUGACAUACAAACUGUAAAAGCCAGAAAUUUUAUAGCUGCUUCCACCUUGUCAUAAUAUUUUGACAUCUAGUGAACUUCAUACUAAGAAGGUACCUGGAAUAUUAUUAAUAGAUAAACAAAGAUUCUGUGCACUGCAGAGAAUGUUUGUAUCUCUUUUGCCUCUCCAGCUAUUUAUUAUUCUACCCUGACAAAAAUAAAACAGAUAGGUAUUUUUCUCCUUCUAUGAUGAGCACAAUCUUUAUUAAUAAUAAUAAUGAUAAUAAUAAAACAUUAAGUUGAAAUUGCAGUUAAAAUUCUUUUCCCAUGUCUAAGUUGUUUUCAAGUAUUGAUGAAAUUUUCUUUACAAUUAGUAGAAUUGUAAUUUUGGAGUGUAUGUGUAAUACAAGUGUUGCAUGUGGAAACAAAAUGAUUCUAAUUGUCUUGUUAAAUUAUUCCUCUUUUUACUGAAUGUCUUUUACCUUGUUUUACAGCAGACGAAAGUUAAGAAAAAGUAGGAAUUUCCAUUUCCAUCAUGUAUGUGAUACCCUGUUUUAGACAAUGCAAAUAAAAAUUCUAAAAAAAACCAUAGUAAAAGAGAAAAAAAAUCUAACCAGAGAUAUAGACUAACCUGGCAGGAGAGCAGGGCGAUGGAGGUAGGGCUCCUCUUAUCGAGGGGUCCUGGUUCCCUGAGAGAAAGGAUGUGAUGAGUGCUUGUACAUCAGACCAGAGGACUGCAGAGGCAAAGACCUAAAAUGCCCUACAGAUCCUGGGGCGACAGACAGUUAUGUAUGCCGAGAGGAGUGACAGAACCAAUUGGUCUAACUUCUGUGUUCUUCACUGGUCCGCAUUCUAAAAACUGCUGCUCUAUUAUGAGAAAAUUAAAAUAGAUCAUCACCCUCCACCCCCUGCCAGUGCCCACCACCCAAACCUCGCCAUACUUAGGGAGGGUUAAAAGACAAGAUCAAAAGGUGAAAUAGAAUAAACUGAACACACACACAUACACAGUACAGGGAGCCACAGUCUUCCAACGGAUUCUGGAGCUUUCUCAGUGCUUUAACCCUCUUCAAGCUGUUGUUGCCUUGAACCCACAUGAGCAGGCCUUGUGAAGCAAGCAGUCCCAAAGAAAACACAAAAGGAACAGCUCAGGAAUAAACACUUCAUAUGAUUAGCGUUCACAAGCCUGGGGAGUGCAGCAGGGCGACUCCGGGCUGUAUGCACACACAGGCACAUGCACCUCUUUCACUCAGCAGACAUCACAUCUGGCAGCAAGCAGAUCCUCUUGGAGGUAAAGGGGAGGAAAGCAGAAAUGUGCAGGGUUUGAAACUCCUGAGUGGAAUUUAUUUAGGUUAAAUAAAGAUACCUGAAAAUAAUUCAGGAUCCUUUAAAAAAGGAAUUAUUUCUUCAUCAUUGGAAAUGAGUUAAUAAUCAAGGGAAAAAAUAGUUUCUAUGUAACAUCACUUCAGAUCUGAAUGGCCUCUACUUAAAUGCCAAGGAAAGGGGGUGAUGUGCAUUAAGUACACAUUAGAGGCUGUUCUAUCAAUCAGAUCCCUCUCCCUCAUCCCCAGCCAGGUUUGUAUAUGCUGAUGGUGAUUGGAGCAGGAUUAACUAAAACUGUUCUGAGCCAAAAUAUUGAUGGUACCACUCUCUUAACUGCCUCCUAAACUUCAGACAUUGCUCUCAUUUUUCUCUUUUUCAUUCAUCUUAAUUUUGCUCUAGAGUUCUUUUCCAGACUAAUCUACCCUCCCUCUUUUCAGCUUUUCCCACCCUAACUUUCUUGUAGACUUACCUGCUGCCUGAAUUUUGUCCCAUGAAAGCAUUCUCCAAGUCUUUGCCUUUUCUCUGCCUAGAAAACUUCUAAGGCUACAGUUUCACUUGGGUCCUCCUUAUUCAACACGUAGAAGAAUGUUUUCAUGUGUCCUCCAGCUCUGGAGUUAGUUAUUGACUAACAUAGAUGUUCACGAUACAUGAUAUGGUACAGAUAUGGGGGAGAGUCAGCUUACAGAAGAAAAAAUUUGAUAUAUAACACAAAUAUAGUGUUAUCAUUUUGUUUAAGCCCUUUGCUGUAAUAUGGAUUUUUUUUUCAUUUAUAAAAUAAGACUGAAGAAAGGAAAUAUGCCAAAAAGUGCAGUGUUCUUUUAGAAAAGGAAUGUAGUGAGAACCAAGGUGAGCUUAGGUUGGUUGCUUUGUUAACCUUAGCAAACUCAUUGGAAAAUGUGGUUUAGGAAGGGAUACUGGUUCUUUGUAUCACUUGACUCCUCUUUCCCUUAUUCCCUAUGUGGGGAUUACAUUGUCAAAUAAAUUGGGAUGAUGGGGGGAGGAAGAGCAGUCAGCAGAAGUACUAUACUAAGUGUGUAUAUAUUUAGAAGUGUUACAAUUCUAGGUCAGUGAGUCUCAAUAUGCGAGCACUGAGCAGCAGCAGCAGCACCUGGAAACUUGUUAGAGAUGCAGAUACUGGGUUACACCUCAGAUCUGCUGAAUCAGAAACUGAUGGAGGGGCCUUCAAUCUGUGUUUUCACUGCCCUCCAAGUGACUUUGAUACCUGCUCACAUUUGAGAACCACCAUUCUUGGCUGUGGUCAUAAAGCUGAGUGCCAAAUCUAAAAGAGAAGAUAGGAUUUAAAAUAAUCAGAUGUCCAUGAAUAUUUAGUAUUUAACUCUUUGUGUGACCUUAGGAUAGCCAUUAAGUUUUCUUAUUUGUACAAAAGCUUUCUCAUCUGUAAAAUAGGGAUAAUAAGAGCAUCUAAUUCCAAACCUAUAAAAGUAUUAUACGAUGAUUUAACAAUAUGUAUUUUAUAUUAUAACAAUAUGUAGAAUAAUGGUAGAUUGGGAUGUUAGGCGAGAACAUAACUUAUUCAUAUAUUCAUAUAUUGUCUAUAGGUAAGAAAUUUCCUUUAAAAGAUUAAUACCAGGAAAAAGGUUUUAAGAGCUCAAGAAAUAGGUGCCUUUGUUCAUUUCUUCUUUUGAGAAUUACAUGGUAUUCGUUUAUGUAGACAUCAUUUCAAGUGGAAAUGUUUUACUUUCAAACAUCAUAUGAUAUAUGAUACGUACUAUUGUGUGUACUAUUACUGAAUCACUUGAUACCACUGAAUGGCAUAUACUUGUUUUUACUUUUACAAACUUCAAUUGGGGAUAUAACAGUCACUUCAAUUUUAUGAGAUUAUUGGCUUGACUUAAAACUUGUCAUUUAUUUUUUGAAACAAGACUUAUAGCAUGGCAUGCUAUUAAUGGAAUCCUAGAAUACAUUUUUCCAAUUCUUACCCAGAUACCACCUACCAUCCAGCAGAUUAUUGCCUCAAGAGAAAUGUUCAAACUUGGAAAAAAAAGCGUUUCAUGAAGCAGAGGAACAUGUUGGGAGACAAGAGUAAGAAGAAUAAUGUUCCUGAGCACUAAUGUUUGAGCACAUAUUUUGUCUGAUAAGUAUUAUUUUGUAUAUAUUUUCACAUUGAAAUAUGGAUGUUUUUAAAGAGCUGAGAAGUGAGAAAAAUUGCAUAAAAAUAAUAUUCCUUACUUUAAAAUCCAAAUCAAGUGAUUAGAAUCUAACUUUUCGGCCUGAAAAAUUCCUGAAUGGGGAAAUACAUAAAGGGUAUUUUAAGAUAUUAAAUAACUGUCAUGUUCAUGUAUGAAAAAAUUAAGAUGACUUUAGAUUUCUUCUUUGGCAUUGCAGGGUGGAAUAAGGAAUACCAAUUCAAAUCUGGCUUUAAAACAACUUCUCACAACUCACCAUCUACUUAUCAUGGCUUUAUAUAAUAGUAUAUAAGAGGUGGAUCAUGUUAGAAAUAGCUUGCUGUACAUAAAGAAGUCAAACUGAGUUGUGUAAGUCAAUGCAAUUUGUGAUGUCGUUACUUAGUAUUUGCUAUGAUAAAAUGGAAAAUAUAAAGAAUAUUCAUUCAGCAAUAUUACUUGUUGAUGGUACUAGUCAACGUUCUAUGGAUGCAGGGAUGACAAGGAUAGACAUGGUGCCUGGGUUUCAUGUCACUGACAUUCUAGCCAGGGCGACAGAUGAUCAACUGUGAAUCUAAAAUGAAGUCUCAAGUGGUAUCUGGUACCUUGAAGACAGUGAGACUGAAUAAAGUAACUGGGCAAUAGGAGGUGCUAUAGGUUAUUUGGUAGAGUGUGCUCAGGAAAAUUCUGAGCAGAAGAUUGAUGGCUGAGAAAGAGUGAGCAUCGCUGAGCUGGGAGAGUCCAGGAGGAGGAGACAAGAACCAUGCAGUGAAAGGGAGAGUAGUGAGGAAGCCUGGGUGGGUAGGGCAGAGGGAGGGGUGUGGAAACUGAACAGGUGUGAAGGUUCCUGAGUACAAAUCAAGGCUUAAGGAAUCAUAAAAAGAUGCUGGGAAACAUUGAUUGCAGAGUGCUUGACACCUGGUAGUAGGUUUGAGCAGAUUUGCAUUUGAAAAGAUCACUUUUGGUUGCUAAUGUGGAGUACAGAUUAUGGGGGGCAGGGAGUUGAAGCAGGCAAGAAGUUGAGGGGAACUGCAGUGGCACAGGCCAAAAAUGCUAACAGCUUGAUUCAGGGAGGUGGUGGAGUAGUGAUGGGAUGGGGUUAGGAAUGAAUUUUUGGAAGUAGAGACUAAGACAUCCUGACGGAUUUGUUAUGCAGAGUAAUAGAGAGAGAUCAGCUGAGACAUCCACGCUAUUUUUGGCCUGACCACUAACUUGAGGUGCCAUUAACUGAGACAGGGAGGGGAGGAUAAUUGAGAGGCAGAUGGGGUACUCUGGGGGCUUGGAAAAAGGAGAGUAAAAAUGCUUUUGAGCAUGUCAAAAUUGAGACAUCUCUGUUAUCUAAGUGAAUGUUUGGUCAGCUGUUGGUAUAUGAAUUUGGAACUCAAAGUUGGAGCUAAAUGUACAACAUUUAGAAAUAGAUAACCACCGCUGAAGAGCAUUUGGUGUUUAAAGCCAUUAGAUUGAGACAGCAAAAGGCAGAUAUCCAAGUAAAGAGAGUCAAGGACAGAGCCCUAGAACAUUCCAGAAUUUAGAUAUUAGGAGAGGAGGGAGAUGUAACAAAGGGACUGAGAAAGAGAAUCCCCGAGGCAGCAGUGAAAGCCCAGAGUGUAAUGCCCAGAGGCCAGUGAAGAAAGAUGUCCUACACCAACACCUCCUAGUGAAGCUAGUAUUCUAUUCUCUAAAUGGGAUUGCUUACAUGAAAUAAGAUCUAUGUGGUGCUCCAACAUGCUGUCCCUUCUCCAAUCUCUUCAGCAUCAUUUGCAGGAAUGAAGGAGUUCUUGAAUUCUUCAAGCUCUUGGGAAGAUUUCCCAACUCCCCGUCCUUCUAUCUUUCCCAGGCUAAGCACUCACUGUUGCACCUCUACCAUCUCCUUUAAUAGUGUUAGAAGACUUUUCCACUUUGAAUUUGGUUUUCAAUGCCCCCGGGGACCUGCAAAGUAACUGUUAAGAGACUGGUUACCAGGAGAAAAGACAGGUUUAUUUAUGCAUGCACAGGUUAGACUAGAGAACACUCAGUGAUUAAGUAACUCAAUAGCCAGAGAUGAAAGGUUUAUUUACCAACUUUAAGAGGGGCGGGGGAAGGGAGGAGGUUUAGGGCUUCAGUGGGAAGAGAUCACUGUUCUGUUGGACAUUUUUAUGCUAAUGGAAACAGGCAGUCUAUCUCCAUCACAGCUAAAUUGUCAGGAAGCCCCCUCCUCCCUGGGAGAGGAGUGAAGGGCAGUUGUGUCUUCUGGAGCCUCUGCUUUAGAAAGACAAGGGAAAUUCGCAAUUUCUUUGUGCCUCUUCUUUAGCUCAGAAGUUGACACUUCAAAUAAUCUUUAUACUAACUCUGGAGGGAGGUCUCCAUAUAGCCUCAGAAUUGACCUCAGUGUCUUCCUUCUCACUGUUCCUCUCAGUUGUACGGAAACUCAGAAUUUCCAGAAUUUCAUUUGCUUUCUGUGUCUGCUGUUCUGACUCUGUUUUUCAUUUCUUUCCAAUUUCCGUAUCCCCUUUGCUGUGCUCUCAGGAGCUCUUUGCUGUUCACUUCCACAGGCUACUGGCUCUUUCCAAAGGAACCUGUCUCCCCAGCAACCCUCUCCAGGGGUGGUGCGUUUCACACCUUCAUACUCAUUAACCUGCUUUUACCAGCAAUUUUUGUCUUCCUCAGCCUCUCAGCUCAUGUCUUCAUACUAUGCCACUUUUGCUUCUUUGUCCUAUACAUAGCCUUUAAGUCUAGGCGUCUGGGUCUCCAUUAUUCUGUAUUUAUCUGUGUGCCUUUCAGGACUCUUGCUGGUUCAGGUAAGCCGUUCCGUGAGGCCCCUGACUCCUAGACCUCCUCUCCUCCAAUGACCCUGUUCACCUGUCAAUCUCACCCAUCUCAUGCCAUGAACAGAACCCCUAGAACCUCAGUUGCUAACAUUUGUGAUCCCUCCAUAAUCUCAAUUCCAAGCUCCCUACUUUCUCAUCACUACCACUGAACGCCCCACAGUUCUCUCCUUAGUUGUCUAGAUGUAUUAUCUACCCCCAUGACACCUGUAGCCCAUUAUUUUUAGCACCUUUUAAAACUAUUCCCCACAGUCUCCCUUCCCCUAUUUGCCAUUCUAUGUCUAAAUUCCAUGGUCUAAUAUUAUAAUUGCCCUCUUGCAGACAUUAUCCACUCACUUGCUCUUAUUUUUACUUUAUUGUUGCCUGGCAAAACUCCAACUCUCCUUUCUCCACACCUGCCCUUGCAGUGCUGAACAUGGCUUGAGGAAAACCUGCAAAAGUAACUGGUCUCAUUUGAAUUCAUAUUCAGUAACCUACAUGGACAUUUAGUGCCUCUACAGUCUUGAUGCAUUUUCCGCGUGCUUUUAUUUACUCCCUCCCCGCAAACCAAUGGUCGUCAAACAUUCUUUUCAUUUAACCCAUAAAAGAAUUUAAAAAAAAUAAGUAAACCACCCUUAUUUAUCUUUUAAGUUUAUCUCCAAUAUUUUUACCAUAAUUUAAAUUGUUAUUAAGGUUGUUAUACUUGUGAAUUGUAUGCCACUAUUUAAAAGGUAUCCAGUAGAAUCUAAAUAUCACAGGUAGUAUCCACCAUUUCCCAUGUAAAAAUACAAACAAGCUAUCUAUUUUUGUAGCCCUUGAAAGUGUUCACUACUUGGGGCUGGCGCAGUGAAGAAGCGGUUUAAAGCCUUGUCCUGAAGCGCAGGCAUCCCAUAUGGGCACCAGUUCUAGUCCCGGCUUCUCCUCUUCUGAUCCAGCUCUCUGCUAUGGCCUGGGAAAGCAGUAGAGGAUGGCCCAAGUCCUUGGGCCCCUGCACCCACAUGGGAGACCUGGAAGAAGCUCUUGGCUCCUGGCUUCGGAUUGGCGCAGCUCCGGCUAUUGCGGCCAUCUGGGGAGUGAACUAGCAGAUGGAAGAUCUCUCUCUCUGUCUCUACCUUUCUCUCUAACUCUGUCUUUUAAAUAAAUAAAAUAAAUCUUUAACAAAAAAAGAUGCUCAUUACUCAUGUUUCUUCUUGACUCCAUUUUCAUUGAAUUCACCCACAGAAUUUAACUUUAUUUUAAUGUAAUUUUUUGCAGUAGAUAGCCUUUCAUUUAUGACCCUAUGAUACUUAUCUGCAAUGCAACUGUAUAUAAGUUGAAAUAUAAAACUUCUUUUUUGAGGGCAAGUAUUUGGCAGAGCAGUUAAGAUGCUCGUGUCCCUCAUUGGAGUACCUUGGUUUCAUUCCUAGUUUCUGCUCCUGAUUUCAGCUUCCUGCAGACACUGAGAGGCAGUGGUGAUGGCUCAGGUAAUAGGGUUUCUGCCAUGUACAUGGGAGAUCUGGACUGAGUUCUCAGCUCUUGGCUUCUGCCUAACCCAGCCCUGGGCUUGGUGGGUUUUGAGGGGAGUGAAAGAAAAGAUAGGAGCAUGAUUUCUCUCUCUCCCUCUACCCUCCUCUUCCUCCUUAUCUUCCUCCUCUUCCCCUUCUCUCUCUCCCCCUUUCCCUCUCUCUCUUCCUCCUUCCUUCCUUCCUUCCUUCCUUCCUUCCUUCCU